GCAAGGAACUGAGGCCUCUGGCCAACAGCCAGCAAGGACCUGAGGCCUGUAAACACCUGAGGCUGUGUGAGUGACUUUGGAAAAAGGUCCCCUCCCAGCUGGCUUAGAGAUGACCAUAGCUCCAGCUCAUACCUUGUAACGUUAUGACCCUGAGUCAGAGGCCCCCAGCUGAGCCACAUCCGGAUUCCUGACCCACAGAAACUGUACAGCAGUAAAUGUUUCUCAUUUUAAGUCACUAAGUUUGGGGGUGCUUUGUUAUGCCAUAAUAGAUAACAUACUGCUUCGCUGGAAUGAAAGCUCAAUGGUGUUGGGUGCACAUUUGUCACCUGGGAAUACUACCAGCAAGCCCCAUAUUUUUUCUGCAGUAAAUGCUGGAAAGGAAAAAGAAAUGCUGAAAAUGAUGAAGUAAUUCCAAUUCUGCUGAUAGAGACCUGGAAAUGCACUAGGGAAAAAUGACAAGAGUGUAACACAUUUAUUCCUACUGCUGAUUACGUCAUAAUGAUUAUUUUGUGCUGUUUGAAGAAGACUCACUGUUCUGAAGAACUAGCAUCCAUUUCCAGGAAAGACAGAGCUGGGAUUCUCAAUCCAUACUCCAUGGGAUGAACCACAUUGAAAAUAAUGGUUUCCUUCUAAUAGCUUACUCUACAUUAUCUACAGAAUUCCUUGGGAUUCUACAGAAACCUAAUAAUAUAGUAAUAAUAAUAAUAAUAACAGAGGUUUGUUUUUGCUAUGUGUUAUCUAAUAUUCAGAUUGUGAGCAGCUGUUUUGGAAGGCAAGAGGAGUGAAUGGAUGUGAAGUCAUCUUAGAAAUGUCCAGGUUUCCAAAAGAAAUUUCACUUUUAAAAGAAAAUAGCAUAAUGUGAACCACAUUAGAAUCAGCACAUCUAAUCCUACGGAGAAAAAGUGACCAUGGCUGUCUACACAUAUAGGCAGGUCAUUCAAGCUCAUUCAAAAAUUCCACUUUCACUGGUGGUCUGUCUAUGUCCACAUGGUGACAAAUGGCCCCGGCAGGGUUUUCGAGGUGUUGGCGCCACCAGUGAGUGCCAGAUGGAAUGUGGUGAAAGUUCUGAUUUGUACCUUUCAGACCAAAGGUACUUUCCAGAAUGGACGGGUCCUUCUGGCUGCCUUUUGUAAGUGCAGCCACAGGUAUUCUGUUGAAGCCUGUGGGUGAGAAAGACAUAAACAGGUGCUAUAAAUUUGUCAGACCAGGAAGCCACAGGCCGUUUAGUAAAUGGUAAACCCAAUGGCCCAAAAGAACAAAGGGGUCUCUUUUCAUCAGAAUGAUCAGGCUCAUUCAACAAAUAUUUAUUGAGUACCCACUCUCUGCCAGAUGGAAGAGCCACUGACAAGCCCUCUUAUUUAAAGAGUGCCUGAAGUGAGGAAGCAAACCCCCAAAUCAUCUGGGAUGGUAUGAACUGACCUCUGGACCGCAACAUGCUGGAAAGGAGGAGCUGGGGUCCCAAGGGCAGGCCAAGCAUCCUAAACCUGUGACACUCACCCUGCCCACACUCUCAGAGCUGCAGCUUUCAUGGGGGUGACAUGAAUGCUUGUAAAUGAGCUUGCUGAAUGGGAGACCAAGAACAAUGAUGAUAUUGAGCUGUUACUACGUGCCAGACAUUUAACCCUUUCAUCCAGAUUAUCUCAGUCAUUCCUCACAAAAAGGCUUUUGAGGUAAGUUCAAUCAUUUCCCCCAUUUUAUAAGUGGGAAAACUGAGACUUUACGAGAGGUCAAUAUUUACACUAUACCCCCACUGGGAAGGGGUGCAGCUGAGAUGUAUUUCCAGUUAAUUACACAGAUGAGACUGCCUGCUUUUUCUAUGAAUAUUUCCAACUAUUAGAUUGAGUGAGUGUUAAUUAAUCAACGUAUUACUUUAAAAAUCAACUUGUUCAUGUUCUAAUGCCCGUUUGUCACUCAAGUAUUUGCAAAAUCAGGGGAUAAUUUUUUUCUAGACUCUCACUCCUUUUCCAGAUAUAAGCUUUUAAAAGCCUUUGUUUAAUCUUUGAUAUAAUAGCUGGUGAGAUAUCUAAUACCUUUGCUAUUUUUUCUUUGAGGAUAUAAGUCUUGAUAUUUAUUUGUUUAAGCCAGUAGCUCUCAACCUUGGCUGUGCAUUAGAAUCACUUACAGUAGCUUUUAAAGAUCCUGAUGCUGGACCACACCCAAGGCCAAUUAAAUUAGAAUUGCUGAGGGUGAUACCCAGGUGAUUACAAUGAGCAUCCAAGGUUGAAAACACUGAUUUAAACAACUCUGCCCUGGACUUUCCUGUAUCUCCAUUUCACCUGGACUGCUGUGGCUUUCACUUAUCUAGUUAGAACUAUGAUUUGGCCAAUUCAUUGCUCAUUCCCAAAGGGGAUCUCAUUACCAGUCUCUAAUACAGAGGCUGAAAAAGCUAAAUAUUCUGUCUUCCAUAUGUCCUUGCAACUGGAGGUGCCAUAUGAUACAGUUCUGCCCAAAGACAAGAAAGUAAAUGUCUGUUGAGGGCUUCCAAAAAGCCAAUACAUACAGGUGUCACCAACAACAGGUAAGUCAAUUCAGGUGGUUGGAUUUUUCACUUUUCGUCUGAAUGUUUACCUGUAUCUGAAUGUCUCCAUAGACAUAGACCGAGCAUGUGACUUGAGGCAAAGUUAAUUUGAGUAAGAAACCAAGGGAGAAUUUUAUCUCUUUUUAUUGAUGCCUUGGUCUCUUUCCAUUUUUUCAUAGAGACCCAGGAGUCCAUGUCAAAAGUAUCCUAAAGAGGAGGUAAAGGCUAAGAAAUUUGAGAACCCUAAGAUUUUCUUUGAAAUUCUGUGGAGAUGAUGCUAAGAGGAUCAAUUAUAAAAUGCUUAUUGGAUGUAAUUUUCAUGUUAGAUGGGUGAGAUUUCCAGGAAGAAGCCUAAGGGAUUGUAGGUAAUAUAAAGCCUCAAGGUAGAAAACACUGA
Non-coding RNA from Chlorocebus sabaeus (green monkey), 2915 nucleotides. The record is from RefSeq and is a predicted model, not a curated record. Lineage: Eukaryota; Metazoa; Chordata; Mammalia; Primates; Cercopithecidae.